GGAACACUUAAACAAUACAAUGUAACAUCAAGUCAAUCACACUUCUGUGAAAUCAAACUGUCCACUUAGGAAGCAACACUGAGUGACAAUCAAUUUCACAUACUGUUGUGCAAAUGGGAUAGACAGCAGGUGGAAAUUAUAGGCAAUUAGCAAGACACCCCCAAUAAAGGAGUGGUUCUGUAGGUGGUGACCACAGACCACUUCUCAGUUCCUAUGCUUCCUGGCUGAUGUUUUGGUCACUUUUGAAUGCUGGCGGUGCUUUCACUCUAGUGGUAGCAUUAGAUGGAGUCUACAACCCACACAAGUGGCUCAAGUAGUGCAGCUCAUCCAGGAUGGCACAUCAAUGCAAGCUGUGGCAAGAAGGUUUGCUGUGUCUGUCAGCGCAGUGUCCAGAGCAUGGAGGCGCUACAAGGAGACAGGCCAGUACAUCAGGAGACGUGUAGGAGGGCAAUAACCCAGCAGCAGGACCGCUACCUCCGCCUUUGUGCAAGGUGGAACAGGAGGAGCACUGCCAGAGCCUUGCAAAAUGACUUUCAGCAGGCCACAAAUGUGCAUGUGUCUGCUCAAAUGAUCAGAAACAGACUCCAUGAGGGCCCGACGUCCACAGGUGGGGGUUGUGCUUACAGCCCAACACCGUGCAGGACGUUUGGCAUUUGCCAGAGAACACCAAGAUUGGCAAAUUUGCCACUGGCGCACUGUGCUCUUCACAGAUGAAAGCAGAUUCACACUGAGCACAUGUGACAGAGUCUGGAGACACAGUGGAGAACCUUCUGCUGCCUGCAACAUCCUCCAGCAUGACCGGUUUGGCAGUGGGUCAGUAAUGGUGUGGGGUGGCAUUUCUUAUGGGGGCCACACAGCCCUCCAUGUGCUCGCCAGAGGUAGCCUGACUGCCAUUAGGUACCGAGAUGAGCUCCUCAGACCCCUUGUGCGGUUGGCCCUGGGGUCUUCCUAAUGCAAGACAAUGCUAGACCUCAUGUGGCUGGAGUGUGUCAGCAGUUCCUGUAAGACGAAGGCAUUGAUUCUAUGGACUGGCCUGCCCGUUCCCCAGACCUUAAUCCAAUUGAGCACAUCUGGGGCAUCAUGUCUCGCUCCAUCCACCAACGUCACAUUGCACCACAGACUGUCCAGGGUUGUCAGAUGCUUUAGUCCAGGUCUAGGUGGAGAUCCCUCAGGAGAAAAUCCGCUACCUCAUCAUGAGCUUGCACAGGCGUUGUAGGGAGGUCAUACCGGCACGUGGAGGCCACACAUUACUGAGCCUAAUUUUAACUUGUUUUAAGGACAUUACAUCAAAGUUGGAUCAGCCCUGUAAUGCUAAACUAUUGGAACGCAACUGCAGAAAACUUUUAAUUACAUCAAUUUAUAGUUUUAUCCUUUUUUGUUAUUGAAUUGCAGGAGAGGAUACUGUAGCUUUAAACCCUCUAGCAGGUUGUUAGUUGCAGGAAAAAGCCACUGAAGUUUUGCACAAAGCUAAGCAGUCCCAAUUAAGGAUAGUGCAGAGAAUGCAUGCAGAGUUAGGUUGAAUUAAAUGUAGUUGAAUUAGCUUCAGGCUAGUUUAACAAUGAGGCAGGUUCUUAUUUGUAACUGAGAGCAAUUGGAUUGAAGGAAGAAGUACUUAGCUAAAGAAGCAGUUUCUUAUUUGCAACUGAGAGCAGUUUGAUUGAAGGAAAUAGUAUUUAGCCUUAGAAGCAGUUUCUUAUUUGUAACUGAGAGUAAUUUGAUUGAAGGAAUCAGUACUUGAGAGGCAGUUUCUGGUAACUGGAGAGAUGAAAUUAAUCAGUUCCUUGGGGGAAGGAAUAGAAGUCCGUUUAACAAUCUGAGGUCGAGGAGUGGAGAAGGAGGGUAGUCGUUUCCAGAGCGAUUUCGGUACACGGGUAGUUCAAUUGAAAUAGAGUAGCCGGUAAGAGUUUCACAGACACCUGUUCAAUAAUCCAGCGCUUUGAAUCUGGCGCGGUCUUCCUAUGUAGCUUGUGAAGACUGUGUCAGAGAAGGAGCGGGGCAAAGUGCCGUCAACCCGGAAGUGAGUUAAGUCGGCGAAACCCGGCAAGUAUAACCUGACAAGCCCGUAGUGGUAGUGUGUUUUUCCACUUUAAUUUUGAGUGUGACUCCAAAUCCAGACCUCCAUGGGUUGAAAAAUUUG
Non-coding RNA from Pelobates cultripes (western spadefoot toad), 2137 nucleotides. Lineage: Eukaryota; Metazoa; Chordata; Amphibia; Anura; Pelobatidae. The record is from the annotation of a GenBank genome assembly.